GGUCAAGCUAGAAAGAGCAUAGGGAGAAUGCCUUGGCAUUAGGAGCCGAAGAAGGACGUGACAAGCUGCGAUAAGCCACGGGGAGCCGCAAAUAGGCCUUGAACCGUGGAUUUCCGAAUGGGGAAACCCAACAGAAGAGAUAUCUGUUACUGUUAAGUGAAUCCAUAGCUUAACAGAGGUAACCCGCUGAACUGAAACAUCUAAGUAAGCGGAGGAAGAGAAAUCAAUUGAGAUUGCCCAAGUAGCGGCGAGCGAACGGGCAAGAGGCCAAACCAGUGGUAGCAAUACCAUUGGGGUUGAGGACUGUAAAAGGCACUCUUAACGUUAGAAGAAUUGCCUGGGAAGGCAAACCAGAGAGGGUGAGAGUCCCGUAUUUGAAAACGGAGAGAGGCUGACAGUAUCCAGAGUAGCACCGGACACGAGGAAUCUGGUGUGAAGCCGGGUGGACCACCAUCCAAGCCUAAAUACUACCUAAUGACCGAUAGUGAAGCAGUACCGUGAGGGAAAGGUGAAAAGAACCCCGGGAGGGGAGUGAAAAAGAACCUGAAACCCUAUGUUUACAAGCAGACAAAGGGCGUUAAAGCCCGAUGUCGUACUUUUUGUAGAACGGUCCGGCGAGUGUAUGUUACUAGCAAGGUUAAGAUAUUCAGUAUCGGAGCCGAAGGGAAACCGAGUGUGAAAAGCGCGAAAAGUUAGUGAUAUACGACCCGAAACCGAGUGACCUAUCCAUGGGCAGGAUGAAGCGUGAGUAAAAUCAUGUGGAGGUCCGAACCGACUUCUGUUGAAAAAGGAGCGGAUGACCUGUGGAUAGCGGAGAAAUUCUAAUCGAACUCGGAGAUAGCUGGUUCUCCUCGAAAUAGCUUUAGGGCUAGCCUCAUAUUAAUCUAACGGAGGUAAAGCACUGAAUGGGCUAGGGGCCUCACCAGGUUACCGAACCCUAUCAAACUAAGAAUGCCGUAUAGAUGAUGUAUGGGAGUCAGACAAUGUGAGAUAAGUCUCAUUGUCAAAAGGGAAACAGCCCAGACCCACAGCUAAGGUCCCAAAAUACAUUUAAGUGGAGAAGGAUGUGGGAUUGCGAAAACAACCAGGAUGUUGGCUUAGAAGCAGCCACACAUUUAAAGAGUGCGUAAUAGCUCACUGGUCGAGUGAUCCUGCGCCGAAAAUUUAACGGGGCUAAAAUGUAUACCGAAGCUUGGGAUUCGCAGUGCACAUUUAAGAUAUGCACAAGGCAAAGCACAUGGCAUGCGAAGCAUGGCAUCAAAUUGUCCGAAAGGAUAAAGCGUAUGUCUUAAAUGUGCACUGUGAGUGGUAGAGGAGCUUUCUGUAUGGGGAGAAGUAUGACCGGAAGGACAUGUGGACUGUACAGAAGAGAGAAUGCCGGAAUGAGUAGCGAGAAUUAUGUGAGAAUCAUAAUGGUCGAAAACCUAAGGUUUCUUGAGGAAGGUUCGUCCGCUCAAGGUAAGCCGGGAGCUAAGGCGAGGCCGAAAGGCGUAGUCGAUGCACAUACGGUAGAUAUUCCGUAGCCGCCGAAAUCGAUAACAUAUAUGGGGACGCAGGAGAGGAGCCUGACCCGGGCGUUGGUAGACCCGGGCGAAAGGGAGCGAAAAUAAGUAGCGAAGCAGGCGAAAUCACACUGACGAGAAAAGCCAUAUAUGUGGAUUAGGUGCCCGUACCGUAAACCGACACAGGUGGGUGAGGAGAGAAUCCUAAGACCAGCGGGAGAAGUGUUGUUAAGGAACUCGGCAAAAUGACCCCGUAACUUCGGGAAAAGGGGAGCCUGCUACGGCAGGCCGCAGAGAAUAGGUCCAAGCGACUGUUUACCAAAAACACAGGUCUCUGCUAAGUCGAAAGACGAAGUAUAGGGGCUGACGCCUGCCCGGUGCUGGAAGGUUAAGGGGAUUUGUUAGGGGUAACCCGAAGCAAAGAACUUAAGCCCCAGUAAACGGCGGCCGUAACUAUAACGGUCCUAAGGUAGCGAAAUUCCUUGUCAGGUAAGUUCUGACCCGCACGAAAGGCGUAACGAUUUGGACGCUGUCUCAACAACACGCCCGGUGAAAUUGUAGUACCGGUGAAGAUGCCGGUUACCCGCGACUAGACGGAAAGACCCCAUGGAGCUUUACUGUAGCUUGAUAUUGAGAUUCGGUAUUUUAUGUACAGGAUAGGUGGGAGGCUGAGAGACAUGGACGCCAGUCUGUGAGGAGCCGCCGUUGGGAUACCACUCUUAAAAUAUUGAAUUUCUAACCGGACGCCAUAAGCUGGUGACGGGACACUGUCAGGUGGGCAGUUUGACUGGGGCGGUCGCCUCCGAAAGAGUAACGGAGGCGCUCAAAGGUUAGCUCAGUACGGUCGGAAAUCGUACGCAGAGUGUAAACGCAGAAGCUAGCCUAACUGCGAGAGAGACAUCUCGAGCAGUAACGAAAGUUGGAGUUAGUGAUCCGGCGGUAGAGAGUGGAAUUGCCGUCGCUCAACGGAUAAAAGUUACCCUGGGGAUAACAGGCUGAUCUCCCCCAAGAGUCCACAUCGACGGGGAGGUUUGGCACCUCGAUGUCGGCUCAUCGCAUCCUGGAGCUGUAGUCGGUUCCAAGGGUUGGGCUGUUCGCCCAUUAAAGCGGUACGCGAGCUGGGUUCAGAACGUCGUGAGACAGUUCGGUCCCUAUCUGUCGUGGGCGCAGGAGAUUUGAAAGGAGCUGUCCUUAGUACGAGAGGACCGGGAUGGACGUACCACUGGUGCACCAGUUGUUCUGCCAAGAGCAUAGCUGGGUAGCUACGUACGGACGGGAUAAACGCUGAAGGCAUCUAAGCGUGAAGCCCCCCUUAAGAUAAGAUCUCCCACAGCGAAAGCUGGUAAGGUCACAUGUAGACUACAUGUUUGAUAGGCCGGAGGUGGAAGUGCAGUAAUGUAUGGAGCUGACCGGUACUAAUAGACCGAGGGCUUGACCAA
This 2941-nucleotide ribosomal RNA is filed under the name Acetivibrio sp. MSJd-27. RNAcentral's name for it is "23S ribosomal RNA". It matches the Rfam family "Bacterial large subunit ribosomal RNA". Lineage: Bacteria; Bacillati; Bacillota; Clostridia; Acetivibrionales; Acetivibrionaceae. The record is from RNAcentral.